RNAcentral lists this ribosomal RNA (506 nucleotides) under uncultured bacterium. RNAcentral describes it as "partial 16S ribosomal RNA". It matches the Rfam family "Bacterial small subunit ribosomal RNA", at positions 30 to 523 of the family's 1533-position model. The record is from RNAcentral.
AUUGAACGCUGGCGGCAGGCUUAACACAUGCAAGUCGAGCGGUAACAGAGAGAAGCUUGCUUCUCUGCUGACGAGCGGCGGACGGGUGAGUAAUGCCUAGGAAUCUGCCUAGCAGUGGGGGAUAACUUGCCGAAAGGUAAGCUAAUACCGCAUACGUCCUACGGGAGAAAGGAGGGGACCUUCGGGCCUUUCGCUAUUAGAUGAGCCUAGGUCGGAUUAGUUAGUUGGUGAGGUAAUGGCUCACCAAGACCGCGAUCCGUAACUGGUCUGAGGGGAUGAUCAGUCACACUGGAACUGAGACACGGUCCAGACUCCUACGGGAGGCAGCAGUGGGGAAUAUUGGACAAUGGGGGGAACCCUGAUUCAGCCAUGCCGCGUGUGUGAAGAAGGUCUUAGGAUUGUAAAGCACUUUAAGUUGGGAGGAAGAGCAGUUAACUAAUAUUUGACUGUUUUGACGUUACCGACAGAAUAAGCACCGGCUAACUUCGUGCCAGCAGCCGCCGUAA